Molecule: ribosomal RNA, 1022 nt
Filed under: Clavicipitaceae sp. SAUFC3-4
Lineage: Eukaryota; Fungi; Ascomycota; Sordariomycetes; Hypocreales; Clavicipitaceae
Description: SSU rRNA
Rfam family: Eukaryotic small subunit ribosomal RNA
Source: RNAcentral
GCAUUAUACGGCGAAACUGCGAAUGGCUCAUUAUAUAAGUUAUCGUUUAUUUGAUAGCACCUUACUACUUGGAUAACCGUGGUAAUUCUAGAGCUAAUACAUGCUAAAAAUCCCGACUUCGGAAGGGAUGUAUUUAUUAGAUUAAAAACCAAUGCCCUCUGGGCUCUCUGGUGAUUCAUGAUAACUUCUCGAAUCGCAUGGCCUUGCGCCGGCGAUGGUUCAUUCAAAUUUCUUCCCUAUCAACUUUCGAUGUUUGGGUAGUGGCCAAACAUGGUUGCAACGGGUAACGGAGGGUUAGGGCUCGACCCCGGAGAAGGAGCCUGAGAAACGGCUACUACAUCCAAGGAAGGCAGCAGGCGCGCAAAUUACCCAAUCCCGACACGGGGAGGUAGUGACAAUAAAUACUGAUACAGGGCUCUUUUGGGUCUUGUAAUUGGAAUGAGUACAAUUUAAAUCCCUUAACGAGGAACAAUUGGAGGGCAAGUCUGGUGCCAGCAGCCGCGGUAAUUCCAGCUCCAAUAGCGUAUAUUAAAGUUGUUGUGGUUAAAAAGCUCGUAGUUGAACCUUGGGCCUGGCUGGCCGGUCCGCCUCACCGCGUGCACUGGUCCGGCCGGGCCUUUCCCUCUGUGGAACCCCAUGCCCUUCACUGGGUGUGGCGGGGAAACAGGACUUUUACUUUGAAAAAAUUAGAGUGCUCCAGGCAGGCCUAUGCUCGAAUACAUUAGCAUGGAAUAAUGAAAUAGGACGUGCGGUUCUAUUUUGUUGGUUUCUAGGACCGCCGUAAUGAUUAAUAGGGACAGUCGGGGGCAUCAGUAUUCAAUUGUCAGAGGUGAAAUUCUUGGAUUUAUUGAAGACUAACUACUGCGAAAGCAUUUGCCAAGGAUGUUUUCAUUAAUCAGGAACGAAAGUUAGGGGAUCGAAGACGAUCAGAUACCGUCGUAGUCUUAACCAUAAACUAUGCCGACUAGGGAUCGGACGAUGUUAUUUUUUGACUCGUUCGGCACCUUACGAGAAAUCAAAGU